CGUUAUUCGGAUUCACUGGGCGUAAAGGGCACGUAGGCGGCUCGGCAAAUCGGUCGUGGAAUCUCGACGCUUACCGUCGAAACGGCGGCCGAAAAUACCGGGCUCGAGGGCGUGAGGGGUCACUGGAACUCCUGGUGAAGCGGUGAAAUGCGUAGAUAUCAGGAGGAACGCCGGAGGCGAAAGCGAGUGACUGGCGCGUUCCUGACGCUGAGGUGCGAAAGCUAGGGGAGCAAACAGG
Molecule: ribosomal RNA, 238 nt
Filed under: uncultured bacterium
Lineage: Bacteria
Description: partial 16S ribosomal RNA
Rfam family: Bacterial small subunit ribosomal RNA
Source: RNAcentral